AUGGGGACUAUCCCUCUGGCUCUAACCUUAACCCUGGUCUUGUUGGCUGUCCUGGGGUUCACUACACCUAGAGUCUGGAGCCUGAACCCAGACGAUCCUAACGUCUGCAGUCACUGGGAGAGUUAUGCUGUGACGGUCCAGGAGUCCUACGCCCACCCCUUUGACCAGGUCUACUACACCAGGUGUACUGACAUCCUCAACUGGUUCAAAUGUACCAGGCACAGGAUCAGCUAUAAGACGGCUUACCGGCGAGGAGUCCGGACCAUGUACCGGCGCCGCUCACAGUGUUGCCCGGGUUACUUUGAGAGGGGAGACAUGUGUGUCCCUCUCUGCUCUGAGGAGUGUACCCAUGGAAGGUGUGUGUCUCCUGAUACGUGUCAGUGUGAGCCAGGCUGGGGAGGACUGGACUGCUCCAGUGGUUGUCAGAGUGACUUCUGGGGCCCCCACUGCAGUAACCGGUGCCAGUGUCAAAACGAGGGCAAGUGUAACCCCAUCACGGGGGCGUGUGUGUGUACAGACGGGUACCAGGGUUGGCGCUGCGAAGAGCCCUGUGAACCUGGGUACUAUGGCAAGGCCUGCCAUCUCAUCUGCCAGUGUCUCAACGGAGCCACCUGCCAUCAUCAGACUGGAGAGUGCAUCUGUUCUCUGGGAUACUCUGGAGCCUUCUGUGGUGAGCGGUGUCCCAGUGGUAGUCAUGGACAACAGUGUGAUCAGAGCUGUUCCUGUCAGAACGGAGGAUCCUGUCAUCACGUCAGUGGAGAGUGUUCCUGUCCCGCUGGAUGGACGGGCUCAGUGUGUGCCCAGCCGUGCCAAGUGGGCAAGUAUGGCAUCAACUGCAGCAAGGACUGCUCCUGCCUUAACGGUGGACUGUGUGACCAUGUCGCUGGUCAGUGCCAGUGUACCCCAGGUUACAGUGGACGGAGAUGCCAGGAGGAGUGUCCGGUGGGGUGGUACGGUCCUCAGUGCAGCCUGCGUUGUGACUGUCAGAACGGUGCUAAGUGUUACCAUAUCAACGGGGCGUGUCUCUGUGACACAGGCUUUAAAGGACCUCACUGUCAGGAGAGGUUCUGUCCCCCAGGCCUGUACGGACUCAUCUGUGACAAGUACUGUCCCUGUAAUGCCUCCAACACUGUCAGCUGUCACCCCUUGUCAGGUGAGUGCAGCUGUACAGCAGGAUGGGCGGGGCUCUACUGCAACGAGACCUGUCCACCUGGUUACCACGGCGACGGAUGCAGGUUGCCAUGCAGCUGUUCCCACGGGGCCGACUGUCACGGAGUCACUGGGGCCUGCGUCUGUGCCCCUGGUUACAUGGGAGAUGACUGCUCUUCUCUAUGUCCUCCGGGGCUAUACGGUCCUAGUUGCUCCUCUACCUGCUCCUGUCAUAACCAUGCCCCCUGCUCCCCCAUCGAUGGAUCCUGUAGCUGCAGAGAAGGUUGGCAGGGAGUGGACUGCUCUACUCUGUGCUCCAGUGGUAGCUGGGGUCUGGGCUGUAAUCAGAGCUGUCUGUGUGCCAACGGCGCAGCCUGUGACCCCAUGGAUGGUGUCUGUACCUGCUCCCCAGGCUGGAGAGGGGAGCACUGCCUCCUACCCUGUCCUGAUGGAAUGUACGGUCUGGAGUGUCGUGGGCAUUGUGACUGUAGUCAUGGCGAUGGCUGUGACCACGUCACCGGCUUCUGUCGCUGCCUCGCUGGAUGGACAGGUAUCCGGUGUGACAGUGUGUGUCCUCAGGGGUUGUGGGGUCCAAACUGCUCCGUCACCUGCUCCUGUCAGAAUAGAGGAUCCUGCUCACCGGAGGACGGUACCUGUGUCUGUUCCCCGGGUUACAGAGGGACCUCCUGCAAGAGAGUCUGUUCUCCUGGGUUCUAUGGGCACCGCUGUAGCCAGUCAUGUCCACAGUGUGUCCACAGCUCUGGAUCGUGCCAUCAUGUGACUGGUCACUGUGACUGUCUGUCCGGCUUCUAUGGCUCCCUGUGCAACCAAGUGUGUUUCAGUGGCAGUUACGGUAAGGGCUGUUCUGAGAUCUGUUUGUGCACCAACAACGGGACCUGUAACCCCAUCGAUGGAUCCUGUCAGUGUUUCCCUGGUUGGAUAGGAGAAGACUGCUCUCACAGUACAUGCCACUGUAGUUAUUGGGGUCAGAUUUGUCUCCACUUUUGUGGAUUGAGCGUGGAACCCCUCGACAACAUUCUGCUUAAAAGGCAGCGUUGUCCAUUAGGGUUCUAUGGUAGAGACUGUACUGAGGUGUGUCGCUGUCAGAAUGGCGGAAACUGUGAUCACAUGACAGGACAGUGUGCCUGUCUCACCGGCUUCAUUGGGACCAGCUGUGAACAGAAGUGUCCCCCUGGUACGUUUGGUUACGGCUGCCAGCAGCUGUGUGACUGUAUGAACAACGCCACCUGUGACUAUGUGACUGGAACCUGUUACUGCAGCAUCGGAUACAAAGGCAUCCGCUGUGACCAAGCUGCUCUGAUGAUGGAGGAGUUGAACCCUUACACUAAGAUCAGUCCAGCGCGGGGAGGUUCAGAGCACCAGUCAGCUGGGGCUGUGAUGGGCAUCAUCUUCCUCCUCCUCCUCAUCAUGAUGGCUAUGCUCAGCCUGUUUGUCUGGUUCCGACAGAGACAGAAGGACAAGGGACACCACAUGCAGCCUAGUGUGGCAUAUACACCUGGCCUGAGGAUAACAAACACCGACUAUUCUGGUGAUGGAGAGCCUACUGCAACCUCAACCACCUGGGUAUGUCUCCUCCUCUCCUCUCUCCUCCUAUCUCCUCCUAACCCCUCACUCCUCCUCUCUCCUCCUCUCCUCUCUCCUCUCUCUCUAACCCUACUGCAACCUCAACCACCUGGGUAUGUCUCCCCCUCUCUCCUCCUCUCCCCUUUCUCCUCCUCUCUCCUCCUCUCCUCUCCUCUCUCUCCAACCCUACUGCAACCUCAACCACCUGGGUAUCCAACUGUUAGUGUUCUACAGGGACUUAAUGGAAUGGCCACUGGUUUCUCCCAGAAUCCCUAUGACCUUCCCCGGAGCAGCCACCUACCCAGCGGCCUCAACCUCAUCCCCCGCCACUACGACAUCCUGCCCAUGAGCCACAGCCCCACAGACACCCCACCCCCUCCCCCAGAGAGCCCCAGCUCCCUGCUCUAG
This is a long non-coding RNA of Oncorhynchus mykiss (rainbow trout), 3141 nucleotides long. The record is from Ensembl. NCBI's taxonomy places the organism in Eukaryota, Metazoa, Chordata, Actinopteri, Salmoniformes, Salmonidae.